AAGAAAAAUCUAGCCAAAAUCCUUACAAAAUUACUUCAAUCCACUUCCAAAUUUCAUCAUCCAUUAGAGGGCUUUGAUCCUAGCUUGGAAGAGGGGGCUGUUCAUCGGUUUUCUUGGAGGAAUUUUGGUCAAGAUUUCUGCCCUAAAGCUGUCCAACUAAGUUCUUGAGAAUGAUUGAUGGAAUGAAGUUGGAAGAAAGUUAGAAAUUUGGAAAAGGAUCUCAAGAGGACUUCGAGGGAACUCCCGGCGAAGCGUCUUAGAGCUAAUUUCUCAAACUUUGACUUUUGAUACUUGGAUCUCAAGAGGACUUCGAGGGAACUCCCGGCGAAGCGUCUUAGAGCUAAUUUCUCAAACUUUGACUUUUGAUACUUGGUUUGGAAGUGGAAGUUCUGAGGCUUAAUUAGUGACCCCCAAAAAUAAUUUUUCCCCACAGGGCUCGAGGCCAAAGAAAGCGCUUGUAUUGAGUUAUUAGUGUCUGAAGGGAUAUCUCAUAUAUAAUUUGAAUUCGAUUCACUUGAUAAGUAUUUGAUGUAAUUAUUUGAGAACUGAGGACUUUUGUCUUAUUCGGGGAAUGAUACCCUUACUUGAGAUUUGUAAUGUAUCUUAUCUCGUUCUAAGUUUGAAAAAUGUUAUUUCGUUUA
Molecule: long non-coding RNA, 641 nt
Organism: Coffea eugenioides
Lineage: Eukaryota; Viridiplantae; Streptophyta; Magnoliopsida; Gentianales; Rubiaceae
Exons: 5
Source: RefSeq, a predicted model, not a curated record